RNAcentral lists this transfer RNA (86 nucleotides) under Parcubacteria group bacterium CG1_02_42_13. RNAcentral's name for it is "tRNA-Ser". It matches the Rfam family "tRNA". Rfam says of the family: Transfer RNA (tRNA) molecules are approximately 80 nucleotides in length. Their secondary structure includes four short double-helical elements and three loops (D, anti-codon, and T loops). RNAcentral also lists the same sequence under 2 other names. The record is from RNAcentral.
GGAAGGGUGCUCCGAAUUGGUAAGGAACUGGUCUUGAAAACCAGCGCCCCGCAAGGGGCUUGUGGGUUCGAGUCCCACCCCUUCCG